CUUGGUCAUUUAGAGGAAGUAAAAGUCGUAACAAGGUCUCCGUAGGUGAACCUGCGGAGGGAUCAUUACCGAGCGAGGGCCUCCGGGUCCGACCUCCAACCCUUUGUGAACACAUCCCGUUGCUUCGGGGGCGACCCUGCCGGGCGCCCCCGGAGGACCACCAAAAAACACUGCAUCUCUGCGUCGGAGUUUACGAGUAAAUCGAAACAAAACUUUCAACAACGGAUCUCUUGGUUCUGGCAUCGAUGAAGAACGCAGCGAAAUGCGAUAAGUAAUGUGAAUUGCAGAAUUCAGUGAAUCAUCGAAUCUUUGAACGCACAUUGCGCCCCCUGGUAUUCCGGGGGGCAUGCCCGUUCGAGCGUCAUUACACCACUCCAGCCUCGCUGGGUAUUGGGCGUCUUUUCGCGGGGGAUCACUCCCCCGCGCGCCUCAAAGUCUCCGGCUGAGCGGUCUCGUCUCCCAGCGUUGUGGCAUCACGUCUCGCCGCGGAGUUCACGAGCCCUCACGGCCGUUAAAUCACACCUCAGGUUGACCUCGGAUCGGGUAGGGAUACCCGCUGAACUUAAGCAUAUCAAUAAGCGGAGGA
RNAcentral lists this ribosomal RNA (586 nucleotides) under uncultured Zymoseptoria. RNAcentral's name for it is "eukaryotic LSU rRNA". The stretch from base 211 to 364 matches the Rfam family "5.8S ribosomal RNA". The record is from RNAcentral. Lineage: Eukaryota; Fungi; Ascomycota; Dothideomycetes; Mycosphaerellales; Mycosphaerellaceae.